RNAcentral lists this ribosomal RNA (1123 nucleotides) under uncultured bacterium. Its description in RNAcentral is "bacterial SSU rRNA". It matches the Rfam family "Bacterial small subunit ribosomal RNA", at positions 47 to 1162 of the family's 1533-position model. The record is from RNAcentral.
AUUGAUUUUAUGCUUGCAUAAAUGAUUUUUGGAUUCGGAGCGAGUGGCGAACUGGUGAGUAACACGUGGGUAACCUGCCCCGAAGCGGGGGAUAACAUUUGGAAACAAGUGCUAAUACCGCAUAAUUAGUUGGAACCGCAUGGUUCCAACUUGAAAGAUGGCUCUGCUAUCACUUUGGGAUGGACCCGCGCCGUAUUAGUUAGUUGGUGAGAUAAAAGCCCACCAAGACGAUGAUACGUAGCCGACCUGAGAGGGUAAUCGGCCACAUUGGGACUGAGACACGGCCCAGACUCCUACGGGAGGCAGCAGUAGGGAAUCAUCCACAAUGGACGAAAGUCUGAUGGAGCAACGCCGCGUGAGUGAUGAAGGUUUUCGGAUCGUAAAACUCUGUUGUUAAAGAAGAACAAGUGUUAGAGUAACUGUUAACACUUUGACGGUAUUUAACCAGAAAGCCACGGCUAACUACGUGCCAGCAGCCGCGGUAAUACGUAGGUGGCAAGCGUUGUCCGGAUUUAUUGGGCGUAAAGCGAGCGCAGGCGGUUUUGUAAGUCUGCUGUGAAAGCCCUCAGCUCAACUGGGGAAGUGCAGUGGAAACUACAAAACUUGAGUACAGAAGAGGAAAGUGGAACUCCAUGUGUAGCGGUGAAAUGCGUAGAUAUAUGGAAGAACACCAGUGGCGAAGGCGGCUUUCUGGUCUGUUACUGACGCUGAGGCUCGAAAGCAUGGGUAGCGAACAGGAUUAGAUACCCUGGUAGUCCAUGCCGUAAACGAUGAAUACUAGGUGUUGGAGGGUUUCCGCCCUUCAGUGCCGCAGCUAACGCAUUAAGUAUUCCGCCUGGGGAGUACGACCGCAAGGUUGAAACUCAAAGGAAUUGACGGGGGCCCGCACAAGUGGUGGAGCAUGUGGUUUAAUUCGAUGCUACGCGAAGAACCUUACCAGCUCUUGACAUCUUCUGCCAACCCAAGAGAUUGGGCGUUCCCUUCGGGGACAGAAUGACAGGUGGUGCAUGGUUGUCGUCAGCUCGUGUCGUGAGAUGUUGGGUUAAGUCCCGCAACGAGCGCAACCCUUAUUAUUAGUUGCCAGCAUUUAGUUGGGCACUCUAGUGAGACUGCCGGUGAUAAA